AUACCGGAUAUGACUGUCUGCCGCAUGGUGGGUGGUGGAAAGUUCUUGGGCUUUGGUCUGGGUUCGGCUGGGGAUGGGCCUGCGGCCUAUCAGCUUGUUGGUGGGGUGAUGGCCUACCAAGGCGACGACGGGUAGCCGGCCUGAGAGGGCGACCGGCCACACUGGGACUGAGACACGGCCCAGACUCCUACGGGAGGCAGCAGUGGGGAAUAUUGCGCAAUGGGCGGAAGCCUGACGCGGCGACGCCGCGUGGGGGAUGACGGCCUUCGGGUUGUAAACCUCUUUCGCCAUCGACGAAGGUUCUGUGGUUGUGAGGCAGCAGGGUUGACGGUAGGUGGAGAAGAAGCACCGGCCAACUACGUGCCAGCAGCCGCGGUAAUACGUAGGGUGCGAGCGUUGUCCGGAAUUAUUGGGCGUAAAGAGCUCGUAGGCGGUGUGUCGCGUCGUCUGUGAAAUCCCGUGGCUCAACCACGGGCUUGCAGGCGAUACGGGCAGACUUGAGUAUUGCAGGGGAGACUGGAAUUCCUGGUGUAGCGGUGAAAUGCGCAGAUAUCAGGAGGAACACCGGUGGCGAAGGCGGGUCUCUGGGCAAAUACUGACGCUGAGGAGCGAAAGCAUGG
Molecule: ribosomal RNA, 620 nt
Filed under: uncultured bacterium
Lineage: Bacteria
Description: bacterial SSU rRNA
Rfam family: Bacterial small subunit ribosomal RNA
Source: RNAcentral